CUACGGGGGGCUGCAGUGGGGAAUAUUGGACAAUGGGGGAAACCCUGAUCCAGCAAUGCCGCGUGUGUGAAGAAGGCCUUCGGGUUGUAAAGCACUUUCAGUGGGGAAGAAAUUCUUAAGAUUAAUACUCUUAAGCGUUGACGUUACCCACAGAAGAAGCACUGGCUAACUCUGUGCCAGCAGCCGCGGUGAAUACAGAGAGUGCAAGCGUUAAUCGGAAUUACUGGGCGUAAAGCGCGCGUAGGUGGAUAUUUAAGUCGGAUGUGAAAGCCCUGGGCUUAACCUGGGAAUUGCACCCGAUACUGGAUAUCUAGAGUAUGGUAGAGGAUAGUGGAAUUUCCGGUGUAGCGGUGAAAUGCGUAGAUAUCGGAAAGAACACCAGUAGCGAAGGCGGCUAUCUGGACCAAUACUGACACUGAGGUGUGAAAGCGUGGGGAGCAAACAGGAUUAGAUACCCUAGUAGUC
RNAcentral lists this ribosomal RNA (465 nucleotides) under uncultured bacterium. RNAcentral's name for it is "partial 16S ribosomal RNA". It matches the Rfam family "Bacterial small subunit ribosomal RNA", at positions 339 to 795 of the family's 1533-position model. The record is from RNAcentral.